Dermochelys coriacea (leatherback sea turtle) is the source of this 3621-nucleotide long non-coding RNA. RefSeq lists it as uncharacterized. The record is from RefSeq and is a predicted model, not a curated record. The transcript has 2 exons. Lineage: Eukaryota; Metazoa; Chordata; Testudines; Dermochelyidae.
GGGAACUCUGAGCCUGCGUAGUUGGAGCCUGGGCCCGCCCCGUCCGGGCUCGAGCCGUGGGUCUGGGGUCUUCGGUUAGGGGGCGGCGGGCCUUUUUAAAAAAAUCCCAUGAAUCCUCGUGGCCUUCCUCACUCUCCACACAGCUCUGGACUAUUGUCAUAAGUGUUGCAAGCACAGGAUGCAUGAUCCUCUGGUAUUUUCAGAGCCCCAAGAAGAACUGAAUCAGCGGUUUUGUCAAGGUCAGUUUGCUGUGAGACACAGCAAAAAAACAAUUCAAGGUUGUUGGUGGCAUUCACUGAGCAGCUACAGACAGUGGAGCGCCGCUGCUGGGCCUGAGACAUGAGCACUGACUGGUGGGAUGACAUCAUAAUGCAGGCUUGGGGUGAUGAACGGUGGCUGCAGAACUUUUGGAUGCACAAAAAGUGUGCUAAGCUCACUUCAGCCCUCCAGCACAAAGACGCUAGAAUGAGAGCUGCACUGACAGUGGAGAAGCAGAGAAGUGGAGUGGAGAUCGCACUGUGGAAACUUGCAACACUGGAUUGCUACCAGUCAGUGGGAAAUAAUUUUGUAGUUGGAAAAUCCAUUGGGGGGGCACUGUAAUGCAUAUGUGCAGGACUAUUUAUUAUCUGCUACACAGGACUGUGACUCAAGGCAAUGCUCAGGACACAUUGGAUGGAUUUGCGGCAAUGAGGUUCCCAAAACUGUGGUGGAGCGAUAGACGGCAUGUAUAUCCGUAUUUUGGUGCCAGCCCACCUUGCCAUAGAGUACAUCAACAGAAAGGGCUACUUUUCUAUGGUUAUGCAGCGUUGCUGGAUCACCAGGGAUGUUUCACCAACAUCACUGCUGGCUGGUCAGGGAAGGUGUAUGACGCUUGCAUGUUUAAGAGCCCAGGACUGUUCAGAAACUUUCCUUCCUGACCGGCAGAUUACCAUUGGCAAUGUUGAAAUACCAGUAGUGACUCUAAGGGACCCAGCCUACCCCAUGCUUUCCUGGCUCAAGAACAUGUACAUCAGCCUCCCUGACAGCACCAAGGAAAGAUUCAAAACCUGGCUCAGCAGGUGCAGAAUGACUGCUGAAUGUGCUUUUGGUAGAUUGAAGGGAUGCUGGUUUGUUUGCAAGAUUGGAUCUCAGUGAAAAAAUAUCCCAAUGCUUACAGCUGCCUGCUGUAUCCUGCAUAAUAUCUGUGAAACAAAGUGGGGAAUGUUGCUGCCAGGAUGGAGGUGGGGCAGCUGUCUGCAGGGUUUCAACAGCCAGACACAAGGGCUAUUAGAAGAGCUUAACAUGGAGCUAUACGGUUCAUGGAGGUUUUGAAAGAGCACUUUAAAAGCAAGCCACAGUAUGUCGUUGUGAUGUACUGUGCUCUAUCUGGCCCUGCUGUUUUGGGGCCAGACAGGAAUUGUGUGAUGCUUGGCGUAUAUCUAUGAACAUAACACUGUCAAUGCAGCUAUUAGUUUUGCGGUGCUUGCAGUCCAUUUAUGAUUAUUACACUGUGUAUGUCACUGGUUCUGUGAGUUGUGUCAAUAACACAUAAGUUGCACAAGCACCUGUGAGAGAUAAUUUAGUAGUGAUACUUGGUCCUGCCACAGAGCAACAGGCUGCCACAGAGCAAUAGGCUGGACUUGACUUCUCGAGGUCCCUUCCAGCCCUACAUUUCUACGAUUUUGUGACAUGCUGUGAAUUAAUAAAGAUGAAUUACUUUCCAAAGAAUAGAAUUUUUUGAGAAACAAAACCAGGGCAAAGAAAAAUCUGUGUGAUUUAAACACAAACACAUUAAAAACUUAAUAAAUUAAUGGAACAGAAUUUUAACAAGGGGAAAGAACAUUCAUGUCCAUUUUAGCUGCACAUACAGGAACCGUGGCUUUCACAAGUCAGCGUAUGUGAAGCUGUGGUUGUCCUUACUGUCCCCUGGGGCAGAGUGGUAGGGGAGGGAGCCCCUGAUGCAACAUGGAAUGCUGAGGUGCUGAGGAGGUGUAUCGAGAUGUUUAAUGGAGUUUUCCACAGACUGCAAAGGGAGGCGAGCCCAUGACUGUAGAUUCACAAGAGUCUGAAGUAUCUGUAUUUGCUGAUGGAGAAGCCCGGUUAUGUCCUCAUGCAUUUCCCACUCCUUUUCCUGAUGGUGCUCCUGGGCCUUUCUACUGUCAGCUCUUUCCUUCUCCACACAGUCUGCAACAUUCAUCCUCUAGGCCCCCUGCUCACAGUCCGAUGCAGCACUGGCUUGCAGGAUCUCAUUGAAUAUGUCAUCCUGAGUCCUCUUCUUUGUCCUCCUUAUCUUGCUCAGGUGUUGCACAGCUGUGGAAGGAGAACUCUUCAAGGCUGCAACGGCAGCAGCUACAGACAAAAUACACAGAGGAACCAUUGUCAGUAUAGUCAAAAUGGAAAGCAAAAGUAAAGAUUCAAAACUCCCUUCCCUUGCUUCCUUCAAGUUUUAAACAAUACAGGCUUAUUGACACUUCUGCUUUGGUGUGCUUGUUCAUGGCACAACUCACAGUUCCAGCCAUGGUGAGAACGGCCCAGCAGGGUAAGGGAAAUGAGGAAGAAAUUGCUUGGUCGCAUGAAAAUGAAUAUAUGACACUGAAUACUGGCACCAUUUUCCACAGGAAGUAGUGAUUUUAACUGAUAUAUCACUCCUGAGGGAGACAAGAGCACAGUUGCUGCUGUUGUCCCAAAGCCACCCGGGCCCAUAUGCUGCUAGCCUGUGUACUGCUAACAGACAUGGGAAAGUGCCCUACCGCAGAGGAAGAAAUAAGGCUGUCAUCCCUUGAAUCCUUCAGGAGAAAAUUGCAGAGUAUCUCCAUGUAAGUUUCAUUGAGAUCUCUGGAAGAUUCAAGGGACAUCCUUGUGUACAUAAACAAACUGCACCACAAGCCCUGCUUGCCUAACUCUAGAGGGGAAUGAAAAGCAGAUAACAACGCUACCUCUGUGUUGUGACAGUGUGUACCCCCAACACACCCCUUGCACACUACUGUAAUAAUCUUUGUAUAAAGGUAUGCCUUGCGAGGUAUCAUUUGAAAACUCAAUUUGUUGGUCAAUAUAUUCUGAUAAAGAACAUACGGUGACAUGGUAUGCAAAGUUAUAAGAUUCCACUUUAUGGUGUUGUUAGCACACGUUCCAAACCACAGUGCUGCCCAGACAGAAGCUGACAAACAAGACUGUCUCAAACGAAAGAAUGUGUGCUGUGCUUAAUUUUCAUUUAAGCAGCAAACAGAGUCAUCAAGCUCAAGGUGGGAAAACCAGCAGGAGAUAUCCUCCAUUGUAGACUUUUUGUCUCCUGAAACUCAGCUGGAAGAGAGGACUGACACUAUGAAAAUGAGGGACUAACCCCCCAAGACACCUCUCCUCCUUUUCCUCUCACUCUCUGUCCAUUGAUUGCACCAGAAGGAACAGAGGACGCAACCAUUACACAGAAGAAGGGGUCCUGGCCUAGAAGUUCGGACAGUAAAACUGUUGAGACUAUGUGAUGAGAGAAACUUUGCUUUGAAUUUAACAUAGAUUGUUAUGUUAGGCAUGAGUUGCAUUUUAUCUUUAUUUCUCUUGUAACCAUUUCUAGCUUUUUUGCCUUAUUACUUGUAUUCACUUAAAAUCUCUCUGUGGUUAAUAAACUUGAUUUAUUGUUUUAUGUAA